UACGAAGGGGGCUAGCGUUGCUCGGAAUUACUGAGCGUAAAGCGCACGUAGGCGGUCUUUUAAGUCGGGGGUGAAAUCCUGGAGCUCAACUCCAGAACUGCCUUCGAUACUGGAAGACUUGAGUCCGGGAGAGGUGAGUGGAACUGCGAGUGUAGAGGUGAAAUUCGUAGAUAUUCGCAAGAACACCAGUGGCGAAGGCGGCUCACUGGCCCGGUACUGACGCUGAGGUGCGAAAGCGUGGGGAGCAAACAGG
This 253-nucleotide ribosomal RNA is filed under the name uncultured bacterium. RNAcentral describes it as "partial 16S ribosomal RNA". It matches the Rfam family "Bacterial small subunit ribosomal RNA", at positions 524 to 776 of the family's 1533-position model. The record is from RNAcentral.